Molecule: unclassified non-coding RNA, 1156 nt
Filed under: Lucilia cuprina (Australian sheep blowfly)
Lineage: Eukaryota; Metazoa; Arthropoda; Insecta; Diptera; Calliphoridae
Description: peroxiredoxin 1, transcript variant X1
Source: RNAcentral
UGCAACCUAUAAUUCAAUAUUAUGCUUUUUGCAAACGUAAAAAAAUAUUUGAUUGUCAUUCUUGAAUUUUCAUUUGCGUGAGACGGACGUUUUGAAAGCGUAGUCGCGUGUUUGAUCCUAAAGUGAAAUAUAAGUUUUAUAAUUUAAAAAUAUAAAGAUGCCCCAAUUACAAAAAGCUGCUCCCCAAUUCAAAGGUACCGCCGUCGUAAACGGUGUUUUCAAAGACAUUUCUUUGGCUGACUACAAAGGCAAAUAUGUUGUAUUAUUCUUCUAUCCUUUGGACUUUACCUUUGUUUGCCCAACUGAAAUUAUUGCUUUUUCCGAUCGCGCUGCUGAAUUCCGCAACAUCGGAUGUGAAGUGAUUGGUUGCUCAACUGACAGCCAGUAUACCCACUUGGCCUGGAUCAAUACACCACGCAAACAAGGUGGUUUGGGUGAAAUGGAUAUUCCAUUGUUGGCCGACAAAUCCAUGAAAAUCGCUCGUGAUUAUGGUGUAUUGGAUGAAGAAACCGGUAUUCCCUUCCGUGGUCUCUUCAUCAUUGACAAAAACCAAAACUUGCGCCAAAUGACCGUCAAUGACUUACCUGUUGGUCGCAGUGUCGAUGAAACUCUUCGCUUGGUGCAGGCCUUUCAAUUCACCGAUGAACACGGUGAAGUCUGCCCAGCCAACUGGAAGCCCGGACAAAAAACCAUGGUCGCCGAUCCCAAAAAAUCUAAGGAAUAUUUUGCUGCCGCUUCAUAAAUGCUGUUGUAACAACCGCGUUUAUGAUGAACAACAUCUACAUAAAUCAGCAUAAUAACUCAACAUUUAUAUUGUAGUAUUUUUUACACCCAGUUUGUCUACAUUAUUAAUUCCUUAAAAUAUCAAUAACUACAUUAACAUUUAAAUACAUAAAAAACAACUAUUUUAUAUAUAUUCUUAAAAAAUAUCAUACCUAAAAGAGGCCCUGGACAAAGUUAAAUCUUUGUUUAGGUUUGCAGUUUCUUCAUGUUGUUAAUGCUCUUACCAAUUAUUAUACAAUAAUUCCUUAUUAGCUUUAAUGACCGAAUGGCUAAGAGAGAACCAACAUGACAUUUACAUGAAUUGUAUUUAUGUCUUUUUAUUUAAUUUGCAAGCAAAACCAAAAUAAACAAGUAUUCAAAAACAAAAAUUAAA